UAGGGGAUAUUGCACAAUGGGCGGAAGCCUGAUGCAGCAACGCCACGUGAGUGAUGAAGGCCCUCGGGUCGUAAAACUCUUUUCAAGAGGAAGAGGAAGGUCGGUACUCUUGGAAUAAGCCUCGGCUAACUACGUGCCAGCAGCCGCGGUAACACGUAGGAGGCGAGCGUUAUUCGGAUUUACUGGGCGUAAAGCGCGUGUAGGCGGCUGAUCAAGUUGGAUGUGAAAGCUCCCGGCUUAACCGGGAGAGGACGUUCAAAACUGAACAGCUUGAGUAUGAGAGAGGAAAAUGGAAUUCCGGGUGUAGUGGUGAAAUGCGUAGAUAUCCGGAGGAACACCAGUGGCGAAGGCGACUUUCUGGCUCAAGACUGACGCUCAGACGCGAACGCUAGGGUAGCAAACGG
This 404-nucleotide ribosomal RNA is filed under the name uncultured bacterium. RNAcentral describes it as "bacterial SSU rRNA". It matches the Rfam family "Bacterial small subunit ribosomal RNA", at positions 355 to 775 of the family's 1533-position model. The record is from RNAcentral.